UUAGUAAUGAUUAUUGAUGUAAAUUUUACCAUAUUGUAAGAAUAUAACAGUUAGAGAAUAUGCAUGCAUAUACGUGUGUGUGUGUGUGUACAUAUACAUAUAUGAAUAUAUAAGCAUGAUGAGUUGGGUGAGAUAUAUGUUUAUAUAUUCGUGAGUAGUUGUGAUGUUGUAUUGAUACAGGUGUAAUGGCAAAGGAAAUGAAGAGGGGUGAUUUUGAAACUAAAAGAAGCAAACUAAGAGAAUUGAGAGUUAGAGAACAGGAAGAAAAUGUAGAAGAAAAAGAAGAGCUCCCAGUGAGUCCUCUAGGACAAUAUCUAAAUAGUUCGGUGCUUUCAGUCAAUGUUAUUGCUAUUUUAGAAUUAGAAGUUAAAAUCAAUUGCACCCAAUCGGUCUCCUAUCUCAAACAAUUAUUUCUCCCCAUCAAUCCACGUUUCUCCUCCAUCAUGGUAUAUAUGCACAUAUAUAUACAUUUCACUAGUAUUUUCUCUUUGUUUUUGUGUUAGUUGUAAUAUUCUUUUCUAAAUUUUGUUUUUCAUUUCAUAGUUAAUACUUAAUGGGCACACAUGUGCACACAUACACAUAUAUAUAAAGAUUUAUCUCUCAUAAAAGAAGAAUUAUAAAUACAUUAAAUAUGACUAAUUAAGAUAUGUUAUUGAAUAUCAACUAUUAUUUACUUGAAUGAUUUAUAUAUUACUUCUUAAAAUUUAUGAAUUUAAGUUAUAAUAUAUUUUCAUAUGUCUUUUUAAAAAAUAUUGUAUUACUUAUUGAUGAACUUUUCCUUAAAAAAAAAGAUGAUACUGAGUGAGAUUAUUAUAAAAUAAAUAGGUAGAAGAUAUAAAUGGAGUUAAACGAUGGAAGAAUGUUGAGGUAAAUUUAGAAGAGCAUGUCUACAUACCAAGCUUCCCAUCUGAAAAAUCAACAGAAUUCUAUGAAGACUACUUGAGAGAUUAUUUAACAAAAUUAGCUGGAGAAGAGCUUCAAUACACAAGACCCUUAUGGGAGCUCCACAUAAUCAAAUACCCAACAACUAAUGCACUUAACACUCUAAUUUUCAAGCUUCAUCAUUCACUCGGUGAUGGCUAUUCUCUCAUGGGAGCUCUCUUUUCUUGUUUGCGACGAGUAGAUAAUCCUUCUCUUCCAAUUACUUUCCCUUCUGUUCGAAUGCGUUCCAGUUCCACUCUUAAUCUUCCUACUCAUUAUUUCAAAACAUUUAUUCCUAACUUUUUCUAUUCGCUUGUCAACACUAUUUCUGAUUUUGUUGAGGGUAUCAUCAAAAGCAAAUUCAAAGAAGAUGAUGUUACACCAUUACGAUCUGGCUGCUCUCAUCUUCAUCCCAUGAUCAUCACCACUAUCCCGUUCUCUCUUCUUUAUAUUAAACAAAUCAAGGACAUUCUUGGAGCAGUAAGUAUUUAUAUAUAAAUACAACAGCAUCUUUUUUUGGUGAAUUACUAAAUUAAUUUUUGAAAUUUAACAUUUUUUAUAAUUUGAUUCAUAAUAUCUUUCUCCUCAUUUCUUUGUUUGAAAUCUCCUUUUAUUUUCUUUUUAAUAGAAAAAAAUUUCAAAUGGUUAAAUCAUAUUUGAAUAAUUUAAAAUAAUGAUUUUAAUUAAUUAUUAAACUAAUAACAUUACUCCUUUACAUUGUUUCCAAAACAUGAAAACAUAUCCUAGAUAUUUUAAGCUUUUUUCUCGCAAUGAAAUGGCGUUUAAAAAAAUAUUAACAAUUAAAUUAUACUUGAAAAAACAUUAAGAGUAAAAUUGCAAUAAGUUUCAAAGUUUAAGUUGUAAUUUAAUAACUAUUAUUUUAAUUAAUGGAUUAUCUGCUUAUCUUCUUCCUUUGUUGAGUAAUCUUAAUGCAUGCAUGCAGACGGUAAACGACGUGAUAACGGGAGUGAUUUUAUUGGGAUGUCGACUUUACGUGCAAGAAUUAC
Molecule: long non-coding RNA, 1928 nt
Filed under: Carica papaya (papaya)
Lineage: Eukaryota; Viridiplantae; Streptophyta; Magnoliopsida; Brassicales; Caricaceae
Description: long non-coding RNA (CPAP_LNC014765)
Source: RNAcentral